Pseudopipra pipra is the source of this 1032-nucleotide RNA transcript. It is a transcript of the gene named RecQ mediated genome instability 2, with no coding region annotated. The transcript has 7 exons. NCBI's taxonomy places the organism in Eukaryota, Metazoa, Chordata, Aves, Passeriformes, Pipridae. The record is from RefSeq and is a predicted model, not a curated record.
GGUCCCGCUUCACUUUCGCUUUCCCAGAGAGUCUCUCCCGGUGGCCCCGAACCAGCGGUGGCACCGCUGCGGAGAACACCCCGAGCUCCCCGCCCCGCCCCUCCCAUGGAGCUGGUCCCGCUCGCCGGUGCCUAUUUAGCUUCUCCUGAAUGAUUUACAUGACUACAAAUUUUCAUUUGCUGCUGCAGGUGGACAGUGUUUGAUGCUCCUUCUGGUUCUCCCGUGAGUCCAUCUACUCAAACCACAGGCAAAUGCUGUGCUUCUACUGAAGUUUAUUUCAGUUCAUAGUAACGUCAAAAUAAAAUGCUGGCGACUGUCUGAUGAGUCUAAAGGAAGCCUUGGACUUGGUUACAUAAAUUGAAUUGAGCUUGCCAAGGUGACCUUCAAAAACUUCUUGGACGUAUGAGGAGUGACAUGUGAUGACCUCAAACCACAAGUAAUUCUAAUACAACUUUACUCACAGAAAAACCUUUUGGGAAGGUACCAGGACUUUAACUGAGCUUAAUGCAAGACUACAGACAUUGAGGACAUUGGAAAACAUGCAAACUGUUUGGAAUUCAAGGACAGAAGUUUUCCCCACAGUUUGUGAUCAUUCAGCUGUGUGUCCUGAAUUCACACCCAGGGUCCCCCCUGCAGAGCAGCACGAGGCCAGCUGUGCCUUCAGCUGGGAUUUUUGCUUUUGCUUUCUGAAGUACCAAUACCAGAGCCUUCCUGCUCAGCCCUUGGCAGUUCCUCCUUUCAAGGCCAUUUCUGCUCUUCCUCUGAUGUUUCUGCCAGCACCAGGAGUCUGAGUAAGCCCAUCUGGAAGCCAGCUUUGCAGACUACUCCCAGAGCAGCAAGCAACACUGGGAAAUAUGUAAUGGUGAUGGGUGUGGUGCGGUCCUGCAGUCCUGAGCCUGUUCUUCGAGCAAUAAAGAUGACAGAUCUCUCCGAAAACCCCGUGCAUAAGGAUAUGUGGAGCCUUGAAGUGGAGGAGUUGCAGAGCAUCAUCCCCUAGAUACUGUUUUUCUGCCUAAAAUGACUGGAAAUGUA